CCAGAAAAACAUACAAGCAUAAAAACAGAAACGGCAGUCAUCAAUCAUACCCUACUGUAUUAUUUCUGUCAUUCUGCCAGUCGGCUCUUGGCUACCCAUCUUGUGGCAGGUGGAUGAAAGUCUAUGUUGGCUGAACACAAACAGUUUGAAAAUCAACAAUCAACAAUCAGAAUCCAUCCAAAUCCAUUCAAAGAAAGACGCUUUUGAGGGAGGGUAAUGAUCCCGUUGGAGCUGCUGGUGUAUUCUUGUUGAACUAUAACAAUGGACUUUCAUGCUUGUUUUUAUUGAAAUGUAAAGAAAAUAACAUUUUGGAUGGUGCAUUUUGCUUUUGCACUAAACUUCAAUAUUUUUUUCAGUACUGUACAGUUACAAUACAUUACAAAAAACCCGUACUUCAUAAUUUUUAAAAGAAAAUUAAGAUACUCAGAAAGUAGGAUAGAAAGGCUGACAUAGUUUGGACAGCAAAAUUGAGUAUUCAGGAAGUUAAAAAUUAGACAUCCUGUUUUGCCAUUAGAACGAUUCAAAUGGAGUGGACGGUUGAUUAACUCAGUCAAUCUACGCUUCAAAGAUUCCACUCUUUAACGCUGCCCCUGCUGCCCCCUCCCACCGCCCACCCCCCCGGCCAACCAUGGGCAAACCUCUGAGUCGCCCUGGAUGUUUCCAGAAAAACUCCUGCUGCCGAGCAAAACAUGGAGUAGGCGAGGGGGGUGGGGUGAGAGGUGGGGGGGGGAGCAUCGUGGAGGGGGGCUAUGGAGACGGCUACGUCCCUCAGCGCUCCAUCUACGACACCAUGUGCCUUAACCAGCAGAUAGACAGCCAGCACCAGCUCCACCACAUCGGCGGCUCCAUGCGGGAGACCGGGGUGGAGGGAGCCUUCAGCUGCUCUGCCAGCAGCUCCCUCCGAGCAGGCCGGUCCCCAGGGGACAUGUUCGACCAGCAGCCGCGCUCGCUCACCCCCAAUCCCUCGUUUGUGCGGCGCUUGGACGAGAGGGCCAUUUAUGACUCCUUAAAGCUGGGGGUCCAGGAGGCCGACGGGGUCGACUGCCGCUCCCCGGGACGCUUUAAGCGCUCAGCCACUCCCUCAGUGUGUUCUUUCUCAGCUCCAGCCGUCUCCUCAUCCUCAUCCAAAAAGCACCACCAUCAACAACAACUACAACAACAACAACAGCAACAACAGCAGAAACUACAACAGCAACAGCAACAACAGCAGCAACAACAACAACAACAACAGCAACAACAGCAACAACAACUACAACAACAACAACAGCAGCAGCAGCAGCAUCAUCAUCAUCAUCACCAUGGAAACAGUGGAAAGAACAGGGACGGACGCCACUCAUGGAAAGUCAUCACCCCCCCAAAUCACAUGGACUGCCUCGAACUCACGUCGGAGGACAUGUUGGAUAGGGGUGGGGGGUAUCUGAACCCUGCCGCCUACCCUCCUGUAGGCAGCUCCUCGCUCGCCUCUCCUGUCGUUUCCCCCUUCACUGGUUCCCCUCACUCUUCAGGCUACCACACCCCCCACUUUUUCUCCCCAGCCAAACCUCGGCCUGUUCAGACACAGAGCUUGCGCUGUUCACCUCCGCACGUCACCCAGCCGAGACACUACUCUCAAACCCAGAGCCUCAGGAUGUCCCCAACACAUGAACUGAGCUACUCUCCCUACCGAGCCCCGCUGGUCCAACUGUCCGCUCGCGACCUCCAAGAGGAGAUGAGGGAACGGGCCUGGGCAGGCAGGGCCGAUCGAGAGCGGGAAAGAGAGUGGGAACGAGAGAGGGAAAGGGAGAUGGAGAGGGGAUGGGCUGAAAGGGAAUGGGAGAAGGAGAGGGAGAGGGGCAGGCUGGAGAGGGAGAGGGCUAGAGAGCGGGAGAGGAAGGACACUUCUGGUUUUGGAACUUUUGGCUACGGCCGAACGGCUCCGCUGUGUUCCGACAGGGACUCAGUGUUCCUAGAAUCUGACCAGAUGCACGAUACCACACCACUGCUGCCCCCCCAGCCGUCACUCUCCCCGUCACCUAAUGCUGCACCCAGGAUGGGAACAUGUGCUGUUGGAAGAAACCGAGCUGGCUCUAAAGUUGGACCAGAAACCAUGAGUGGAAGUGUGCGAUCAUCUAACAGUGGAGGUGGAGUUAGGCCCUGGUUAGGCGGUGAAAGUCGCCCUAGAAGUAUGGCAGAGACACCAUUCACGUCUGAAGCACACUUUGAUCACCGUCAUGAAUCUUGGAGUAAAAGUCAUAAUAGGGUGGACGAAAUAGAAAACCCGAAAGGAAGAAUUGAAUCCCAGUGUAAAAAAGGUCCAGAAAGAAGUUUAUCCGAAAGCAUAAAGCUAUCUGGGAUUAAAACUGAGAAUUCAUCUUCAUCUGCAAGUAAGGAAAAACACAGAAGCCGGUCUGCGGUUGGAAAGAGAACUGAAGAAGUGAAGGUAGACUGUGAACUGAGUGCUGAGGCUAGUACCUGUGCUGUGCAAAAGGUUGGAAACAAGGUUGAGCCUGAGUGUAAUGAAGACAAAAUAAUAAGAUUGGAUGCAAGGACUAAUGGGGAGAAUGAAUCUGUGAUUGUAGAUGUACAAAGACCUGAGCAGUUAGAUACAUUGCAGCACCCUCGUGGGUUGGCUGAUGUAGACGUAUGUGCAGACCAUGAAACAGCCAUUGCCAAAACUGAUGCUAUUGUUGUAUCUAAGGUCGAGACUGCACCUAAGACUGAGCAUAGUUCCCAGUCAGGUAAAACAAAUCCAGACCUCAAUAGUGCAAGGCACAGGGAUGAAAGGGAGACCACUACUGUUGAUUGGGGUAAUCCAGAAUUUCUGCCAUAUGAAAAAGCUGAACAAAAGGUCAAUAUGGGCAAAACUGGAUUUAUUGCUCCCAAACCAGAUUUUGAUAGCCAGAAGUUAUCUACCCCCAAACCCAACAGUAGAACUCGCCCUGGAACAGCUACAGGCCUCCGUCCAGGACUAGUCAGCCCCAAACUAGACAGCGGGUUCGGGGAGCAGGAUCCGGCAGCACCCCCAGAUGGCAUGGAGUCCACCUGGCCCCGGAGAGUCAUUGUCAGAAAGAGAACAGUUCGACAAGGCGGCGCACUGCACAACCUACCCAUCCUCCCACCACUCCCAUCUGUUCUCACUGCACUGGAGAAGAGGUUCCCACACCACCUCCCACGUCUAGCUCAUCAUUCUGAGAAUCCUUUGACAAAUCUGAUUGGCGCAGUAGGGCGGUGCUCUUUAAAAGAACCCUCCCAUCUAGAGCUGGGUCUCUGUGCCACUGUAGUAAGCAGAGCGUCAUUGAAGGAACAAAACUUAGAGCAGUGGAGGGCCACCAAAGAGCAUAAUGAUCUCAGGAUGCAAAGCAGAAAUAAUAAGAAUCCAGAAGAGUCCACAGCGGAGAAGGAGGAAAAUAAGGUGAAACGUGUAGAGCAUGAUAAACUAAAAUCAAAAGAGGUGACUGGUAGUGCUCAGGGAGAAAAGCAUGACAAAAGCAAUAGCUAUCAAUGUGAGAAGAAUUAUGGUGUGGUCAAAGUAGAGCAUGUCAUAACAAAACAGGUAGAAUCAAGAGACAUUGCACAAGUAGAUAUCCAAGACAGUGUGAAUCAGGAGUACUUGUUAGCGUUAGAAGUAAAGGGGAUCAAGGCAGAAGAAAGCACAAGCAAGGUGAUGCCUUCACAAGAGCAACCCAAACCAAAAGAAGAUAAGGUUGGCGGUAAACCAGAAGUCAGAAUAGAUGUAGAAGGAGAAUGGAUGGAAGAGAGGGAUGUUGGCGGGAUGGCCGGGGAGGUGGAGAGCUGGGAUGUGGUGCUGAAGAUGGUCAACACCAUUUGGGAGGAUGGCUGGGCCGGAGGCAGAGCUGCAGGGCCAGUGGAGGAAGGCGACACCGGCUCCAUAUCCGGUUCCUUGCAGCGUUGGCCUCUUCUCAGACCCCCUGCAGGCUUUGGGGGCUCCCACCCAUCGUCCUCGGCUGCUUCAGAGCUCAGCUUGACCGAGCUGGAAAGGAGGGCCAGGGAGCUGGACUCAGACCUCGAGCAUCUCGACCUGUCCCUGCCCCACAGGGAAGCAUACGGUCUGAUGCUUCCCAAGCCGCAGAAGGAAAGGACCGACAUGUACCAAACGCACCCGGGGCCCCAAAGAGAGAAAGGUGCUUUUCUCACAGGUCUAGGGAGCAGGUCUCAGGUCCUUCUAGAGAUGGUUCCUACCAUUACAGAGAAGGUCAUUACGGACGUUGACACCAACUGGUCAGAAAAGUCUGAUGCUGGGGCACCUACCAUAGGCAUCAGCUCCACUAAAGAGGACAGCUCUCCAGACUCAAACCUUACCUUAGAGUCGGAUUCCAGCGGCGUCUUCCUUUCCAUGUCGAAUCAGAGCCAAGACGAGAUGGGCUCUGACAGCGAUCAGCCAAUGAGUGGUUCCGACUUGGGCAGCAGCAGCACAUCAUUCGACAGAGAUGGGGAAGAGGCGGGUGCAAAAGAGUGGGGACGUGAGGAGAGUGCUGAGCUGGACUGGUGCUACCCUUCACUCCUCGACCCCUCUUCACAUGAACAUACAGCAGAGGAAGGAAAUGGAGAUGAAAACAAAAACCCAAGAGAUACAAAAAAAGAGGCUGUAUCCAUUAAGACCUCAGCUCAGAUGUUCAGUUCAGUUUCGCUCCCAACAUCCCCUUCCAAACAACUAAUCAAACAAUUCCUCAAUCCCAAUCUACCAAUGAGAAGCUCGGGAUUAGAUUGUGGUGACUUGGAUCCCUUUAUCCAAUCAGAUAGCUUUGUUUACCUUGCAGUGUCCACAAGCUCCAGCCCCCAGGCUGAGAAAACCGAAGCCAUAGACAAACCCCCCCAUGGGGCCAUCCAAGUCAUCUCAAACCAGUUACCCAGCUUGCCCCGAGCUCCCGAGGACUCCUCCCCCGCACAGAAGGCUGUCGUCAAGGUGACUCAUCUUGUGCCCCAGCGUCCAGAGGGAGAAGACUUCCUGUCCACGGAUAGUUUUGUUUACCUCGCUGCUCCAGCAUGUCUCUUACUGGGCCCAGAAGGAACUGCACCCUACGGUACAAGGGAUUCUGAUUCGGACAGCUCUGGAUCUGGCGCCGCCGACAUGUCGGUGCUGGGCUGCGGAUCCCUGGCCGGGGACAGCGACUGGGACUCGGACGCUUCGGACUCAUACCCCCAUCGCCCUUCUUCCAGAGUCCCCGGGGCCAGCGACAGGCCUCCGUCUGGCCCCGUCCGUCCGAAACGCCACCCCACCACUGAGCCCAGCUGGGACCUGUUCCAAGAUGUCACCGAGCCGGAAGUACUGCCCGAACUGCUCGACGAAGAAGGCCACGAAGAAAGCGACGAAGAAGGCGACGAAGAAGGCGAUGAAGACGGUGCCACCAGCGGCAGCAACAACCUAAACAACAAUGUCACCACGGUUACAGUUGCGGCUACAACUAUGGUAAUAACCACCCCCGGGUUCGUCAACGAGGUGACUCCCGAGCCAGCAGACGAGAUGGCGAAAGCCGUUGCGACGUUGGAGCAGGCGUCCACCACCAAGAAGGUGACAUGGCAGUUCAAGCCGGCGCAGAGAUCUGUGUGCACAGGAAGCAGGAAAGAGAAAGAACCAUCAAGGUCGUCAUCACUGAGGUACGCCGACCAGGGACCGGAAGAGGCGCACUGUCCCUUACCAUCGUCGCCCUCUUCUUCCUCCUCACCAUCCUCAUCAUCGUCCUCUGGUUGA
This is a long non-coding RNA of Gadus morhua (Atlantic cod), 5689 nucleotides long. The record is from Ensembl. NCBI's taxonomy places the organism in Eukaryota, Metazoa, Chordata, Actinopteri, Gadiformes, Gadidae.